GAUGAAGAACGUAGCGAAAUGCGAUACGUAGUGUGAAUUGCAGAAUCCAGUGAAUCAUCGAAUCUUUGAACGCACAUUGCGCCCGCCAGUAUUCUGGCGGGCAUGCCUGUUCGAGCGUCAUUUCAACCCUCAAGCCCCCGGGCUUGGUGUUGGGGAUCGGCGUGCCCUCGCGGCGCGCCGUCCCCUAAAUCUAGUGGCGGUCUCGCUGUAGCUUCCUCUGCGUAGUAGCAACACUCGCACUGGAUCGCAGCGCGGCCACGCCGUUAAACCCCCCACUUCUGAAAGUUUGACCUCGGAUCAGGUAGGAAUACCCGCUGAACUUAAGCAUAUCAAUAAGCGGAGGA
This 344-nucleotide unclassified non-coding RNA is filed under the name soil metagenome. Its description in RNAcentral is "partial contains 5.8S ribosomal RNA, internal transcribed spacer 2, and large subunit ribosomal RNA". The stretch from base 1 to 120 matches the Rfam family "5.8S ribosomal RNA", at positions 35 to 154 of the family's 154-position model. The record is from RNAcentral.